RNAcentral lists this ribosomal RNA (791 nucleotides) under uncultured Streptomyces sp. Its description in RNAcentral is "bacterial SSU rRNA". It matches the Rfam family "Bacterial small subunit ribosomal RNA", at positions 56 to 862 of the family's 1533-position model. Lineage: Bacteria; Bacillati; Actinomycetota; Actinomycetes; Kitasatosporales; Streptomycetaceae. The record is from RNAcentral.
UGCAAGUCGAACGAUGAAGCCCUUCGGGGUGGAUUAGUGGCGAACGGGUGAGUAACACGUGGGCAAUCUGCCCUUCACUCUGGGACAAGCCCUGGAAACGGGGUCUAAUACCGGAUAAUACUCCUACUCGCAUGGGUGGGGGUUGAAAGCUCCGGCGGUGAAGGAUGAGCCCGCGGCCUAUCAGCUUGUUGGUGAGGUAGAAGCUCACCAAGGCGACGACGGGUAGCCGGCCUGAGAGGGCGACCGGCCACACUGGGACUGAGACACGGCCCAGACUCCUACGGGAGGCAGCAGUGGGGAAUAUUGCACAAUGGGCGAAAGCCUGAUGCAGCGACGCCGCGUGAGGGAUGACGGCCUUCGGGUUGUAAACCUCUUUCAGCAGGGAAGAAGCGAAAGUGACGGUACCUGCAGAAGAAGCGCCGGCUAACUACGUGCCAGCAGCCGCGGUAAUACGUAGGGCGCAAGCGUUGUCCGGAAUUAUUGGGCGUAAAGAGCUCGUAGGCGGUCUGUCGCGUCGGAUGUGAAAGCCCGGGGCUUAACCCCGGGUCUGCAUUCGAUACGGGCAGACUAGAGUGUGGUAGGGGAGAUCGGAAUUCCUGGUGUAGCGGUGAAAUGCGCAGAUAUCAGGAGGAACACCGGUGGCGAAGGCGGAUCUCUGGGCCAUUACUGACGCUGAGGAGCGAAAGCGUGGGGAGCGAACAGGAUUAGAUACCCUGGUAGUCCACGCCGUAAACGGUGGGAACUAGGUGUUGGCGACAUUCCACGUCGUCGGUGCCGCAGCUAACGCAUUA